UGGACAGCUUGCAGACGAUUUUUUUUUUUUUUUUCACUUAACUGCUAGAACGAGGCUCGUGACCUCAGAACUUCCGGUUACGCCUGCCAUUUUACUAUGUCAGUAAAAUCUGCAAGAGUAACUGGUAGAAUGCCACUGUGCGAGUAUCAAAUCUUUCUGUUUAAGCGUUUUUUCGCUUCCGCAGGCAGGAAUAUGGACAGAUCAAGACAAGUGGCGAACGGCUCUCAUUCAUGCAAUAAACCGUUCAGACAAAAAUUUCAAUCCAUUGACAGCCAAGAUUUGUUCAAGGCACUUUGAAGAAGAAUGCAUUAAAAAAGGACCUUCUGGAAGAAUCAUGGGACUAGUUCCUGGGAGCAUGCCAACUAGAUGAAUGCCUAAAAAAUCCUUUGAAACUCCCAAAACAGCUAGACCCAAGCCUAAGGUGCAUGAGCCCCCUGUCGUGCCAGUUCGUAUUGCCUACACCAGCUUCAUGGACAUGAAGAAGGAUUUGACACAUCAUUCUGCCUCCUGAGUGGAUUAUUAUGAAAAAUUCUGAUGAUGCUGUCGUUCUUGGCUUGUUGUCAAGUAAAACUGAAGAAGUGUAUGUGAAGAAAAGAAUGGGGAAAAUCAGUGGAGCCAUCCUUCUACUUAUGGAUACUUAUGCCAAACAUAAGGAACAAUUCGCACUUCCUACUAUGAAGAAAAUAGAGGUGUGGAAGAGGAUUGCCUCUGAAAUGGCAGCCUCAGGAUGCCACUUUGCUCCAGCAGCAAUUGAGAAGAAAUGGAGCAAUAUGAAAAUACGGUAUAAAGCAAUAGUAGACUCGAACAAGAAAACGGGCCAGGGAAGAACAAGGUGGAAUUACUAUUCCAGAAUGGCCGAAAUCUUGUAGGGAGACCCUUCAGUCAUUCCACCAGUGACAAUAUCAUCACUGGGGGGGUGUAAAAGGUCAAUGAACCAUUUAUAGCAUAAGCAAGCAAAUAAAGCAUAGUUUUAGUAUUGCCAUAUUUAGUAAAACAUUUGUUUAUUGUUUCUUUUCCUACAGGUAUUUGGUGAGGGUAAUGACAAAAGUCUGUUCUGCCACAAAGAGAUGAGUCUAGAUAUGUAAAAAGCUCAGUUAGGAACUUUUUGUAUGCAUGUACUGUUCCAGCAAGAGCAGUUACCAUGUGCAUACAGGCCAGACAUAUUUGGAUUUUCCAUGCCUAUAGAUGGGUCAUAAUUCAUUUACAUUUAUUUUUCAGUAAGCACUCUCUCAGAGAUUACCAAUACCCAGAAAUGUGCCACCCCUCCAAAGGAGCAAGAACAGCAAAGAAAGUCUAUGGAGACUCCAGGAAACGGAAGAGACCGAAUAAUGAAUCGUCAGAGCAGCUUCAGAGUUGUCAUGUAAGGAACCUGGCAGUGCAGGAAGAGAUAAUGGCGGAGGAGAGACAAAGAAUAGAAUUGGAUAGACAAAGAACAGAAUUGGAUAGACAAAGACUAGAAUUUAUGAGAAACACGGAGAUAGAACAGAAUUUAUGAGAACCAUGGAGACACAAAGAACGGAAUUGCAUAGACAAAAAACAGAAUUGAUGAGAAACACGGAGAAAGAAAGAACAGAAUUUAUGAGAAACCUGGAGACACAAAGAACAGAAUUAUUAGAAAAAUUAGUCAAGCACCUAACGAAGAGUUAGAAAAAUUUUUUCUUUGAGAUUUUUCCAUAUAUUUAGUUUGUCUUUUGAUUUUAGAAGUUUGCGAUUCCUUUUAGUUUACAAAUUAUUCAGUACACAAAUUUAAUUCUUCUGAAUGAAAUGCUUUUUGAAUGCGACAGCAAAAACUCCAAAUGGAAUGAUUUACAGUGAAUGUGUAUCCAUUGUAAAUGCUUAUGUGAGAUGUAUUACAUACAGGCUGAAAGUUGUAAAUUCUAACUCCCUUCCCAUUACAUUUCCAAAAUAAGUGUAACUAUGUUGUAAGUAUGCACGGUAAUCACAAUGCCACUUGGGUUAAUAUUGUGUUAGCAACAUGAGUUUCGAUGUAUUUGGGGUGGGCAAGUUGAGGGAUUCUUAAGAGAUUUCAAGCUGAGACUUGUAUAGACUGUUUUCUACAGCUUUUAGUCAUCUUUAGUCCGAAGUACUUUCUUAAUUGACAGUAAGGGCACUAUAUGUAUUUUGUACUUUAACUCAAUUCCGCCUACUAUCCCAACAUUGGUUACGGGCACGACCCUACCAAAUAAAGGACAUUGCUUUGAUUUUAGUACUCAAUAAAAACUUACACGCCCUUACAAA
This is an RNA transcript of Pomacea canaliculata, 2238 nucleotides long. RefSeq lists it as uncharacterized. The transcript has 5 exons. The record is from RefSeq and is a predicted model, not a curated record. NCBI's taxonomy places the organism in Eukaryota, Metazoa, Mollusca, Gastropoda, Architaenioglossa, Ampullariidae.